GUGGGGAAUAUUGGACAAUGGGCGAAAGCCUGAUCCAGCCAUGCCGCGUGUGUGAAGAAGGUCUUCGGAUUGUAAAGCACUUUAAGUUGGGAGGAAGGGCAGUAAGUUAAUACCUUGCUGUUUUGACGUUACCGACAGAAUAAGCACCGGCUAACUUCGUGCCAGCAGCCGCGGUAAUACGAAGGGUGCAAGCGUUAAUCGGAAUUACUGGGCGUAAAGCGCGCGUAGGUGGUUUUGUAAGUUGGAGGUGAAAUCCCCGGGCUCAACAUGGGAACUGCCUCCAAAACUGCAUGACUAGAGUACGGUAGAGGGUAGUGGAAUUUCCUGUGUAGCGGUGAAAUGCGUAGAUAUAGGAAGGAACACCAGUGGCGAAGGCGACUACCUGGACUGAUACUGACACUGAGGUGCGAAAGCGUGGGGAGCAAACAGGAUUAGAAACCCCAGUAGUCC
RNAcentral lists this ribosomal RNA (450 nucleotides) under uncultured bacterium. RNAcentral's name for it is "partial 16S ribosomal RNA". It matches the Rfam family "Bacterial small subunit ribosomal RNA", at positions 354 to 796 of the family's 1533-position model. The record is from RNAcentral.